AACGAACGCUGGCGGCAGGCCUAACACAUGCAAGUCGAGCGAGAUCUUCGGGUCUAGCGGCGGACGGGUGAGUAACGCGUGGGAAUAUGCCUCUUGGUACGGAAUAGCCUCGGGAAACUGGGAGUAAUACCGUAUGUGCCCUUUGGGGGAAAGAUUUAUCGCCAAGAGAUUAGCCCGCGUUGGAUUAGGUAGUUGGUGGGGUAAUGGCCUACCAAGCCGACGAUCCAUAGCUGGUUUGAGAGGAUGAUCAGCCACACUGGGACUGAGACACGGCCCAGACUCCUACGGGAGGCAGCAGGGGGGAAUUUAAAACAAUGGGGGCAACCCUGUUCUACCCAGGCCGGGGGAGUGAUGAAGGCCUUGGGGUUGUAAAGCUCUUUCAGCUGGGAAGAUAAUGACGGGACCAGCAAAAGAAACCCCGGCUAACCGCGG
Molecule: ribosomal RNA, 432 nt
Filed under: uncultured bacterium
Lineage: Bacteria
Description: partial 16S ribosomal RNA
Rfam family: Bacterial small subunit ribosomal RNA
Source: RNAcentral